RNAcentral lists this ribosomal RNA (484 nucleotides) under uncultured bacterium. RNAcentral's name for it is "bacterial SSU rRNA". It matches the Rfam family "Bacterial small subunit ribosomal RNA", at positions 27 to 518 of the family's 1533-position model. The record is from RNAcentral.
GGACGAACGCUGGCGGCGUGCCUAACACAUGCAAGUCAAAGUCUGAGUGACUCGGUACAAGGACUUGGCGCAAGGGUGAGUAAGGCAUAGGUAAUCUGCCUUUGGCUGGGAUAACCCCGAGAAAUCGGGAACAAUACCAGAUGAUGCAGCGGAACCGCAUGGUUAUGUUGUUAAAGAUUUAUCGCCAAAAGAUGAGCCUAUGUUCCAUCAGGUAGUUGGUAGGGUAACGGCCUACCAAGCCUACGACGGAUAGCUGGUCUGAGAGGAUGGUCAGCCACAUUGGAACUGAGACACGGUCCAGACUCCUACGGGAGGCAGCAGUGAGGAAUAUUGCGCAAUGGGCGAAAGCCUGACGCAGCAACGCCGCGUGGAUGAUGAAGUUCUUCGGAAUGUAAAAUCCUUUUGCAGGGGACGAAUAGGUCGGCUUGCCGGCUGUGACGGUACCCUGCGAAUAAGCCACGGCUAACUCUGUGCCAGCAGCCGC